Molecule: ribosomal RNA, 121 nt
Filed under: Smittium mucronatum
Lineage: Eukaryota; Fungi; Kickxellomycota; Harpellomycetes; Harpellales; Legeriomycetaceae
Source: RNAcentral
AUUUAAGACCAUUCACACCAGAAAUCACCAAACCCCGUCCGAUUUUUGAAGUUAAGCUGGUGGUGAUGUCAUCUUGUUGUGGAGGGGGACCACACGGGAAUAAGACGCACAGAAUUAUUUU